UUGAUAUAUACUUUAUUAUGCACAAGAGACUAAGAUGACAUGACACUGUGGUUAUCAAAACUGUACAACUAUGCAUUUCCACAAGUCUCUGAAAUACUGAAUGUAAUAUGAAAUACAAAUGGGGUGUUCAGACUGGCCACAGGAAUUAGCAAGUAAUAUUUCUCCCAUUCUUUGAUUUAAAAAACAUCUGGCAUUUGGAUCCUACAGAAAUGUACUUAUUGAAUUCAAACAUGAGAAUAUUGUGUUUAAAAAUGGUAGGAACAUGGCAGCAAAGAUCUGAUAACGCAAUGAUCAUCCAUACAAAUGACAAACAACAACAGGGCACAACAGUCACCUCACACGAAGGGCUGUCAGCACAACCAACAGUACAGUCUUCUUGUGAAGCAUGAGGUAGAUAUGCGUAACAGAAGGAACAGUACAUACAGGAGAAAAAUGGUUACAAAAGGGCAGGGGGAAGGUUACAAUCAUCAGCAUCUACAAACAUUUCGCAAAAUCCAUUUCCAUGUGGAAAAUGCUACAAAAAUAGCCUAACACAGAAAGAUGUGACUUCUCAAAACAUGAAUAUAGUAAUGUCCAAAUCCAAAUGCUGUAAAAGGUUAGAGUUAGUGAUUAGACGACGCAUGACACAACGAGCAGUCUACUUUGGAGUUUAAGUAUGCUACCAAUAGCUUUUACAGACAAAAGGUGUCCCUUUUAAGCCCAAUCCUCCCAUUCCUAUAUAAGAAGUUCCUUCGCAGUCAAUUCCGCCACGCUGAAGUUUACCCCCGAGCCCGUCCCCCUGAAGCCCUGCUUUAAAGCCUCCGCUGGGGCAGGAUCACCUCGCUGCCCUUCCAGCGUGGCGAGACCAGGUCUGACAGAGGUGGGAGCCAGCGGCUUUGCAAUUACACAUUCACCACACACAGAAACUUGCUGUAGAGACAAAUGGCUGCAAUAAAAGUAGAGCUUAUAGGUGGAUCAGUACUCUGAACCGCAGGCAGCUACCAGCUGCUGGGAAGUACUAUCCAUUUUUGUUAUAAAGCUAUUAACUGGGAAUGCCCGGGUUUGGUUCUCUCUCUCUCUCUUCAUUGAAGCAGAAAUGGCUGUUCCAUCUGCUAAUUACACAUGGUUUUGGUAACCUCCAAUAGACAAUUAAUUCAGUUUGAUUAAAAUGUCUGAAUUAAACAGCUGAGUACACCAAGUUCAGUUAAUUUAAAUUGUAUUUCAAAUAGAAGGUAACAAAUUGAAUCUUUGAUCCUUAUAUAUUUUUGGUUUAUCCAACGGUAAAUAUAAAUCUGUAAAUUAUUUUAAAAUUAGAGUAAAUUUUUAAUAAAAAACAUUAAUAAUGCAGCAUGUUUCUCUCAAAAAUAUACAAUUAUCUAUUUUACAUAAAAGUUUUCAACCUGUCCAUCCCAACAACCAAAUCCAAUACUUCCUAUGAGAAACUACUUAAUAAAAUAUCUGAGGGAGGAAAGGGUUAAAACAGAGAAAAGAAUUUACAAGAUAUAUAAAUUUCACAGUAAUUGAAAUUAAACAUUUCAUAUAGAGUAACUUACAUUUAUCUAAAACAUUUAAAUAUCUUUAUACAGAAAUUUAAUGUAGUAAAAUAUAGCUAUGAUUGAACUUAAAGACUCUAGUCUUCUUUGAAGACAUCUUUAAAGACUUUACACAUAGAAUAUGCUUAUACAAUACAUUCUGCUGAAGGUUAGGCAAAGCGCUUUCUUCUCAACCACACAGGAGGCACAUUCAUCCUCCCAACACC
Long non-coding RNA from Strigops habroptila (Kakapo), 1738 nucleotides. Lineage: Eukaryota; Metazoa; Chordata; Aves; Psittaciformes; Psittacidae. The record is from Ensembl.